GAUGGCCUGCGGCGUUGGUGAAUGCCGAUAAAGUUGUCGAUCGUAACUACGUGCGAUUGGGAACAGCCAACGGCUGGCGGUGAGCAAGCCGGGCAUCUUAAUCAGAUGAUUUCCGGAGACUCUAAAGCCAGUGCGCCCGUUCCCACCUGGUUUACCAGAGGUCGCAUACUGAGGUAAAACGGCGUUGCGGGUCAAUU
This 197-nucleotide non-coding RNA is filed under the name Gloeobacter kilaueensis JS1. Its description in RNAcentral is "6S / SsrS RNA". It matches the Rfam family "6S / SsrS RNA". From Rfam's summary of the family: E. coli 6S RNA was the first non coding RNA to be sequenced, but its function was unknown until recently. Lineage: Bacteria; Bacillati; Cyanobacteriota; Cyanophyceae; Gloeobacterales; Gloeobacteraceae. The record is from Rfam by way of RNAcentral.